AACUCCAAACCCUUUGUGAACCUUACCGUCGUUGCCUCGGCGUGAGCCGCGCGUGCCCUGCAGCUACCCUGCGGCGGGCGACCCGGGGGAAGGCUACCCCGCAGUAGACCUACCCCGCGGCGCCCGCCCUUCAGGGGCAGCUGUGCGGCGCGCGCUAUAUGGCCCGCCGGAGGACCGUUCAAACUCUUGCUCCAAAAAAAGCUCGAAAGCUUCAAAAAAUUUCCGCUCCAAAGCCUGUUCGAAAAAAAGCUCCAAAGCUCGAAAAAGAAUCCUGCUCCAAAGCUCGCUCGAAAAAUCCUGCUCCAAAGCUCGAAAAUCCUGCUCCAAAGCUCGAAGAUCCUGCUCCAAAGCUCGCUCGAAGGAAAGCUCCAAAGCUCGAAAAAAAGUUCCAAAGCUUUUGCUCGAAAAAAGGAUUCUGCUCCAAAGCUUGCUCGAAAUAAAUGCUCCAAAGCUCGAAAUGAAGCUCCAAAAGCUUAUUUUUUUUUUUCUGAAUUACUUCAAUUAAAAUCAGUUAAAACUUUCAACAACGGAUCUCUUGGUUCUGGCAUCGAUGAAGAACGCAGCGAAAUGCGAUAAGUAAUGUGAAUUGCAGAAUUCAGUGAAUCAUCGAAUCUUUGAACGCACAUUGCGCCCAUUAGUAUUCUAGUGGGCAUGCCUAUUCGAGCGUCAUUUCGACCCUUAAGCCCUCGUUGCUUAGCGUUGGGAGCCUGCGUCCCCUAGGGGCGCAGUUCCUCAAAGUUAGUGGCGGAGCUAGGGCACACUCUAAGCGUAGUAAGCUAUUCUCGCUUCUGUGGUGUACCUGGCUUCCUGCCGUAAAACCCCUAUACAUCUAGUGGUUGACCUCGAAUUAGGUAGGAAUACCCGCUGAACUUAAGCAUAUCAAUAAGCGGAGGAAAAGAAACCAACAGGGAUUGCCCUAGUAACGGCGAGUGAAGCGGCAACAGCUCAAAUUUGAAAUCUGGCCCUCGCGGUCCGAGUUGUAAUUUGUAGAGGAUGCUUUGGGCGCGGCGCCUUCCAAGUUCCCUAGAACGGGACGCCUUAGAGGGUGAGAGCCCCGUACGGUUGGACGCCUAGCCUAUGUAUAGCUCCUUCGACGAGUCGAGUAGUUUGGGAAUGCUGCUCUAAAUGGGAGGUAAAUUUCUUCUAAAGCUAAAUACCGGCCAGAGACCGAUAGCGCACAAGUAGAGUGAUCGAAAGAUGAAAAGUACUUUGAAAAGAGGGUUAAAUAGCACGUGAAAUUGUUGAAAGGGAAGCGUUUGCGACCAGACCUUUUCCAGGCGGAUCAUCCGGCGUUCUCGCCGGUGCACUUCGCCUGGUUUAGGCCAGCAUCGGUUUUCCCAGGGGGAUAAAGGCGGUGGGAACGUAGCUCUUUCGGGAGUGUUAUAGCCCGCCGCGUAAUACCCUUGGGGGGACCGAGGACCGC
This 1423-nucleotide ribosomal RNA is filed under the name Hypoxylon polyporus. Its description in RNAcentral is "eukaryotic LSU rRNA". The stretch from base 838 to 1423 matches the Rfam family "Eukaryotic large subunit ribosomal RNA", at positions 1 to 596 of the family's 3401-position model. The record is from RNAcentral. Lineage: Eukaryota; Fungi; Ascomycota; Sordariomycetes; Xylariales; Hypoxylaceae.